UCUCAAUAUCAACACUGGCACGCAUCCUAAAAAAAAAACCAUAUUCAAUUGAAGCAAAUUUAUCGAGUGCCUUUCGAGCGCAAUUCCGAAAGGGUGAAACAACUGCGGCAUGAUUAUGCAGAGGUAGUUCUACGAAUGGAUGGAGAGGAGAUCCAGCAUGAGUUCAUUUACGUAGAUGAGGCUGGGUUCAACCUGACGAGAACACGAAGGAGGAAGAGUUUUUCUCGGCAUGGCGGUGGAAGGUAUAUGAUCACCGUCUCCAGGCUGAGGUACCCCUCCUCCAAGCCAUGGAGGAGGUCUGUGACCAGAUGGAGGUAGCAGCAAU
This is a long non-coding RNA of Brienomyrus brachyistius, 325 nucleotides long. RefSeq lists it as uncharacterized. The transcript is spliced from 3 exons. NCBI's taxonomy places the organism in Eukaryota, Metazoa, Chordata, Actinopteri, Osteoglossiformes, Mormyridae. The record is from RefSeq and is a predicted model, not a curated record.